RNAcentral lists this ribosomal RNA (448 nucleotides) under uncultured organism. RNAcentral describes it as "partial 16S ribosomal RNA". It matches the Rfam family "Bacterial small subunit ribosomal RNA", at positions 335 to 799 of the family's 1533-position model. The record is from RNAcentral.
ACUCCUACGGGAGGCAGCAGUGGGGAAUAUUGGACAAUGGGCGCAAGCCUGAUCCAGCCAUGCCGCGUGAGUGAUGAAGGCCCUAGGGUUGUAAAGCUCUUUCACCGGUGAAGAUAAUGACGGUAACCGGAGAAGAAGCCCCGGCUAACUUCGUGCCAGCAGCCGCGGUAAUACGCAGGGGGCUAGCGUUGUUCGGAUUUACUGGGCGUAAAGCGCACGUAGGCGGACUAUUAAGUCAGGGGUGAAAUCCCGGGGCUCAACCCCGGAACUGCCUUUGAUACUGGUAGUCUUGAGUUCGAGAGAGGUGAGUGGAAUUCCGAGUGUAGAGGUGAAAUUCGUAGAUAUUCGGAGGAACACCAGUGGCGAAGGCGGCUCACUGGCUCGAUACUGACGCUGGGGUGCGAAAGCGUGGGGAGCAAACAGGAUUAGAUACCCUAGUAGUCCCAUG